Long non-coding RNA from Homo sapiens (human), 378 nucleotides. RefSeq annotates it as GFOD1 antisense RNA 2. Lineage: Eukaryota; Metazoa; Chordata; Mammalia; Primates; Hominidae. The record is from RefSeq and is a predicted model, not a curated record. The transcript is spliced from 3 exons.
AAGUCUGUGGAUCAAUGGAACGACACUAAAUGGCACAGAUACACCACGUCACGCAGAAUUUCAGGGGAUUUAACUUAUCUGAACAUAUCACGUGUGAAAAGGCUUUUUCCGAGCCCUGUAGAUGGGUCAGGGAUAUGGAAAUGCAAGUGGAAGAAAGUACAAGGAGGCUUUAGCAGGGACGGGGAGGGUUAUGCCACAGCAAGAAGACUCUCACCAGAUGCCAGUGCCAUGCUGUUGGACUUCCCAGCCUCCAGAACUUUCAGAGACACCCCUGCCCCCAGAUUCAUACUCCAGGCUGGGAGCCACUGGCAUAACUGACGGAUGAAAAGAAGAGAAGAAUGGACACAGAGAGAUUGGAGGUGGAGAAUGAGAGCAGGC